RNAcentral lists this ribosomal RNA (253 nucleotides) under uncultured bacterium. Its description in RNAcentral is "partial 16S ribosomal RNA". It matches the Rfam family "Bacterial small subunit ribosomal RNA", at positions 524 to 776 of the family's 1533-position model. The record is from RNAcentral.
UACAGAGGGGGCGAGCGUUAUUCGGAAUUAUUGGGCGUAAAGGGCGCGUAGGCGGCUUUGCAAGUGACGGGUGAAAGCCCUCGGCUUAACCGAGGAACUGCCUGUCAGACUGUGAGGCUUGAGACCGGGAGAGGUGAGUGGAAUUCCCAGUGUAGCGGUGAAAUGCGUAGAUAUUGGGAGGAACACCAGUGGCGAAGGCGGCUCACUGGACCGGAACUGACGCUGAGGCGCGAAAGCCAGGGGAGCAAACGGG